UACGAAGGGGGCUAGCGUUGCUCGGAAUGACUGGGCGUAAAGGGCGCGUAGGCGGCUCAUACAGUCAGAUGUGAAAUUCCUGGGCUUAACCUGGGGGCUGCAUUUGAUACGUGUGGGCUUGAGUGGGGAAGAGGGUCGUGGAAUUCCCAGUGUAGAGGUGAAAUUCGUAGAUAUCAAGCGGAACACCGGUGGCGAAGGCGGCCUUCUGGACGAUGACUGACGCUGAGACGCGAAAGCGUGGGGAGCAAACAGG
This 253-nucleotide ribosomal RNA is filed under the name uncultured bacterium. RNAcentral's name for it is "partial 16S ribosomal RNA". It matches the Rfam family "Bacterial small subunit ribosomal RNA", at positions 524 to 776 of the family's 1533-position model. The record is from RNAcentral.